Molecule: long non-coding RNA, 191 nt
Filed under: dengue virus type 1
Lineage: Riboviria; Orthornavirae; Kitrinoviricota; Flasuviricetes; Amarillovirales; Flaviviridae
Description: Dengue virus 1 partial sfRNA1
Source: RNAcentral
AAGAAGUCAGGCCGAUUUAAGCCAUAGUACGGUAAGAGCUAUGCUGCCUGUGAGCCCCGUCCAAGGACGUAAAAUGAAGUCAGGCCGAAAGCCACGGCUUGAGCAAACCGUGCUGCCUGUGGCUCCAUCGUGGGGAUGUAAAACCCGGGAGGCUGCAACCCAUGGAAGCUGUACGCAUGGGGUAGCAGACU